RNAcentral lists this unclassified non-coding RNA (2588 nucleotides) under Leishmania donovani. RNAcentral's name for it is "gene:LdHU3.32.4590(CDS-product:hypothetical_prote in_conserved)". The record is from RNAcentral. Lineage: Eukaryota; Euglenozoa; Kinetoplastea; Trypanosomatida; Trypanosomatidae.
AGAUGCACCGCACCGGUACCCGGCUUGCACGUCAUCUGCAAGACGGCUUGCAUGAAGCUAGAGUGGAUAAAGCAUAAACUCCUGCGUAAAAGUGCGCGGGCCGCCGCAGGCCACUGCGUCGCACAAUACCGCAGGAGUGCAGCUUCGCCCAUUGUGGACGGCGAUGCCACCGCCUCCUCGCCGACGGCGUCCGCGUCACUCAAGCAGAGCGCGUACGUAAUCGCAGAAAGGAUGGAGCCGUCGGGAUGCGCAUGUCUGCUCGUGGGGCGUCGCCGGCAGAAACCGUCCUUAUCUUUGCCUGCAAGCCCGCGUCGUCGUGUGGUGAUCCCUGGAAUCGUGCCGGGCACGGUGCUGCGUACGCGCGCCUCUGUUGUCGAGUGGAUUCACAAGUGCAGGCAGCUUCCGGCUUCCACCGAGUACACGGUGCUGAUGAGGAGCGGCAAGCAGGUUCCACGACAUGCAGCCGACGCGGGCCUGGCAGCGCUGCCUUGCGGACUGGCCGCUGCAAACGCAUGCCAGCGAUGCCCGUGGAUGGCGGUCGGAAACAGCGGCGAGAGCGCUGCGGCAAAGCACACUUGCUGGCGCACGUCUCUUGAGAGUGCGGUGCGAAACAUGUGGGCGUCGUCCGCCACUGCGGACGGUGCUGCAACCCUGAUCCGCACCCACGACGAUGCCAUGCGCUGCUGCUCGUUUCUGGAGCCUUUCGCGGUGAAGGUGACACCGAAUCGACUCCUGGGCCUUCAGCUCUUCUUUGCGCCACUGGAGUGGGCUGACUCACCGGCGUCGUCGCGCAGCCGUCUCGCAGACUCCGCAGCGCCCGCCUGUGGCACACCCGCUGCUGCGACGGCGGUGGUGUGCAUUGAGCGAGAGGGCCUGUCGCGUCCCCUGUCUGUUGCUGCUCACGUUUGCCACAGAGAGCCGGCGUCACCGGCCGCUGCUUCAGGCGGCGCCGCAGAGCUCUCUCCAGAGGCACUCGACCUUGCGCAGGAGUGCCUGCUGGAGUCUCUGGAGCAGAAGCGGCUGGUCCCCGCUCUCCAGCGGUGGGCCACGCAGCUCCCCACCUCCACCCAGGCACGGCUUCUUGGCGUCUUCAUUUCUCAACCGUUCACAUGCGCGCCGUACUCAGAGACGACUACAUCGCUGCAGGUGAUUCUCGUGGUGGAGCGCAACACGGACGUGCUUGGCAUGCAGAGCCCUUUGUGCAGCCCGUCCCACCCUGCCGACCUCCUCUCCACUGAGGAGCGGCAUUUGGUGGAGGUGGUCGCCGCGGCGGCGCCGCUGAUCUAUGACGUCGAGGUGCUUGUAUGGGUGCAGAGCACAUGCAGCGAGGCACGGGGGACAGCUGCCGGAGCGACCGCUCUUCAUCGACUCUACCCAACUCUCAGUCGUGAUGCCUUACCGGCGGAUGUGCGGUGCGAGGAUUGGCAGAACGGGUUUCCCCUUGCCAAGGGUGGGACGGCAGCGCGCGAGCUGGCGCGCGGUCAAGUGACGCAGACGGUUCGCUGCUGGUGCCACCCGCUGCUCGAGGAGCUGUCGGUAAAACUCCCUCCCUAUCACGCGGCCUUGUGCGCUGUGCCUCUUCCAUGGUUUGGUAAGGCGUGCCGCCGCCGUCCUCAGUUGAGGCCCAGCUCUGAGCAUCGCACAGCGUCGUCCCCUGCACUGGACAUCGGCACCGCCGCUGGCAAAGCCGAGCGCGCAUUCGCCAGCGCCUACUCACAGCGGCUUCCGUGGGUUCCGACUUUCUGGCGUCACCCCGGCGCGCUCGACGCCUGCUGCUCCGUGCUCCUCAGCGUCCUCCUUGAGGGCACGAUCUUGCCCACCAGGUCAACAUCUGCGGUCACCGAGAGCGACACGCCUCAUCGGCCAGGGAGCGUUGAGGUGUGCGCCCCUCGUCUCUCUGCGCACUUGUUUGCAGCCGCGGAGGCAGACGUUGGCGCCGCGGCCGGGCAGACGAUUCUGGACGGUGCAGUCGUGGCACUCGCGGGAGAGGCGGAGCGCGUAGUCGCUCUCGGCGGGAAGUCGGAGCAGCCCGGCCAUUUUGCCUCCUGUGGUGCACCGUUGCCACCUAAAUCAUUUUCUGCAUCGCCGGCGCCUCGUCGCGUGCUCGUGUCCGUGCGAGAGGGCGACGGGGCCGCUACAGCUGUGACGACGGCGUUCGUGAAGCAAGUUCUGGGCGCAGUCCAUACACAGCCAGCACGCUUGUGCUUCUACGAGUGCACUUCUACCAUGAAUGCCGCGGCACUCGGCGCGCAGGUUGCCGCGAUACUUCAGCACGCGCAGCGCGUCGCUCAAUCGGUCUCUGUCGAUACCGGCAUCGUGGAUGUUGAUCCGCUCGCCUCGUCGUUCGUAGCGUACGCGUGUGUGUCCGUGCAUGUGUGAGGAAACAGCCGAAGAACCGUCGCCGCACUGCUUCGCCGCGCGUCUGCUUUGCCGAGAGAAGGAGCACCGUCACCGGCAUGGGUAGGCGCGGCAACGGCUCGUGCCUUGCGUGUUGCCGUGGGCGUGCCCAUCGCGCCGCCUACUCCCCCUCUUUGUACGCGCGCGUGCAUGUCUUCACACACCUCGCCCGUGUUUAGAGCGGGACGGCG